GACUCCAACCACAAGGAGGAGAUGGGCUUCCUGAGGGAUGUUUUCAGUGAAAAAAGCCUCAGUUACUUAAUGAAGAUUCAUGAGAAGCUUCGCUAUUAUGAAAGGCAAAGUCCAACCCCAGUUCUGCACAGCGCUGUGGCCCUCGCUGAGGACGUGAUGGAGGAGUUGCAGGCCGCCUCCGUGCACAGUGAUGAGAGGGAGCUGCUCCAGCUGCUGUCCACUCCGCACCUGAGGGCUGUGCUCAUGGUACAUGACACGGUUGCCCAGAAGAAUUUUGACCCCAUUCUCCCGCCUCUGCCUGACAAUAUCGAUGAGGAUUUUGAUGAGGAAUCGGUGAAGAUCGUCCGCUUGGUGAAGAACAAGGAACCCCUGGGUGCCACCAUCCGGCGGGACGAGCACUCAGGGGCUGUUGUGGUGGCCAGGAUCAUGCGAGGAGGCGCAGCAGACAGGAGCGGCCUGGUCCACGUUGGAGAUGAGCUCCGAGAAGUGAACGGGAUCGCAGUCCUGCACAAGCGGCCCGACGAGAUCAGCCAGAUUCUGGUCCGUGCUACAAGCCUGCUAGGGAUGUGCUGGGUCUUCAGACACCCAGAGCAAGGCACUUCCUGGAGCCAGGACAGAUUCUGGCUUAGCCUUGCUGUUGUCCUGAGGAGGUGGCAGGCAAAGUGGCCUUAUGGUGUGCCCCUACAGUGUGCCCGGGGUAUGGGGUGGCGGCAGGAGGAGGGGAACUUCCCUUCCAUCUGCCUCUCUUAGACCCUCUCCUCAGCACAGCCUUCCUUCCUUCCCCUGGUUCCCUUUCACAAGGCCCCUCCUGGGUCCUGGGUCCUGGGUGUGAAUCCUGGCUCUGCCUCCUUCCAGCUGUGCAACCUUGGACGAGCCAUCAGAUCAUCUGAGUUUCCAUUUCCUUUCCUUUAACGUUGGGAUAGAGUUUCUUUCUCAACCAAUGUGUGGUUAUCAUUGGCAUGCCAACAUCUGGAAAAGGGUAAAGCCCUUCAGAAGUGUAAGGGGAUUUUAAGGUAUAAAAUGCUUGGCUGAAAACCUCCAUGGUCCAUUCUGGGGAGUUGAAGUCAAAACUGAAAUUGUGAAAAGCCCCAAUCAUAGCUUGGUCCCCUUUAUCCUCAGGAUUCCUCCCCUGACCUGACACUCUGCUAACUUCUGAUGGUUUUGGGGGCAGAAACAGGAUGAGAUCUGAAAAGAGGAGGCCCACUGUUUAAAGCCCUCUCUGGGCUGGGCUCAGUAGUUCACACCUGUAAUCCC
RNAcentral lists this small RNA (1254 nucleotides) under Pan troglodytes (chimpanzee). RNAcentral describes it as "retained intron". The record is from RNAcentral. Lineage: Eukaryota; Metazoa; Chordata; Mammalia; Primates; Hominidae.